This 200-nucleotide unclassified non-coding RNA is filed under the name rhizosphere metagenome. Its description in RNAcentral is "partial ribosomal RNA internal transcribed spacer region". The record is from RNAcentral.
GUUAUAGUCCCCCGGCCCUUCCGGGUUGGGGUCUUCUAUACCACCCUUUGUUUAUUACACCUUUGUUGCUUUGGCAGGCCUGCCUUUGGGCUGCUGGCUCCGGCCGGCGAGCGUCUGCCAGAGGACCUAAACUCUGUUUGUCUAUACUGUCUGAGUACUAUAUAAUAGUUAAAACUUUCAACAACGGAUCUCUUGGUUCU